AAAUGGGCCCACUUUUCAUAUUGAGACCUUUCUUUCAUGGAAGAGCGAACGCAGAGCCUUCGCUCGUUGAGGAAUUGGGAAAUGAGAAUGGAGAAAUCGGAGAAUUUCAGCGUUCAUAAUUCAGAAAUAGAUAGGAAUUUUUGAAGAUGUAGGCCGGGAAUUCCUGUCAAGUUUGGCAUCUGAGUUAGCGACGUUUCUGUUCGGAAUUCAGUCAUUUGAGCUGUUCUCAAGCAUCUAUCAAAUUUUGAUGGCAUUUACAGGUCUUUCAUGAAGCGAAGCUUGUACUGUUUCUUGGGGUCCUUUCCAAUUUCAGCUCAAUCAAUUUUAGCAGGUUGAAGAUUCAAACCUCGACGCCCACGUGUUAUUGAAGAUUCUACACUUCUCUCUUUAGGACUAAUACAACUGGUUCUUAUUUUGAAUAUGGUUUUGAUUUGAUAAAGUGAUUUGGUGUCCAUAAUUAUCUUUUUGGUUUAGGGUGGCAGCCAACCUUGUAAAUUAAUGAUUGAAGAAAUGAGCUUAAUUAUCGGAGACACCUUGGGAACAUGUCUCUCUCACUCACUUUGUUUUAGAAUUUUGCUAAUUGGGCCUUACAAAUCACUCAAUUUCAUGAAGGGUUUGACUAAUCAAAACUUACCUAAUUUCAUGCUUAAUUCUUCUCGAGUA
This is a long non-coding RNA of Cucurbita moschata (crookneck pumpkin), 663 nucleotides long. RefSeq lists it as uncharacterized. The record is from RefSeq and is a predicted model, not a curated record. Lineage: Eukaryota; Viridiplantae; Streptophyta; Magnoliopsida; Cucurbitales; Cucurbitaceae. The transcript has 3 exons.